CCUACGGGCGUCAGCAGUGGGGAAUAUUGGGCAAUGGGCGAAAGCCUGACCCAGCAACGCCGCGUGAAGGAAGAAGGCUUUCGGGUUGUAAACUUCUUUUGACAGGGAAGAGCAGAAGACGGUACCUGUCGAAUAAGCCACGGCUAAAUACGUGCCAGCAGCCGCGGUAAUACGUAGGUGGCAAGCGUUGUCCGGAUUUACUGGGUUGAAAGGGCGUGUAGCCGGGCUGACAAGUCAGAUGUGAAAUCCGGGGGCUCAACCCCCGAACUGCAUUUGAAACUGUUGGUCUUGAGUAUCGGAGAGGUAAGCGGAACUCCUAGUGUAGCGGUGAAAUGCGUAGAUAUUAGGAGGAACACCAGUGGCGAAGGCGGCUUACUGGACUGUAACUGACGUUGAGGCUCGAAAGCGUGGGGAGCAAACAGGAUUAGAUACCCGUGUAGUC
Molecule: ribosomal RNA, 442 nt
Filed under: uncultured bacterium
Lineage: Bacteria
Description: partial 16S ribosomal RNA
Rfam family: Bacterial small subunit ribosomal RNA
Source: RNAcentral